RNAcentral lists this ribosomal RNA (465 nucleotides) under Vreelandella stevensii. RNAcentral describes it as "partial 16S ribosomal RNA". It matches the Rfam family "Bacterial small subunit ribosomal RNA", at positions 338 to 795 of the family's 1533-position model. Lineage: Bacteria; Pseudomonadati; Pseudomonadota; Gammaproteobacteria; Oceanospirillales; Halomonadaceae. The record is from RNAcentral.
CCUACGGGUGGCAGCAGUGGGGAAUAGUGGACAAUGGGGGCAACCCUGAUCCAGCCAUGCCGCGUGUGUGAAGAAGGCCCUCGGGUUGUAAAGCACUUUCAGUGAGGAAGAACGCCUGGUGGUUAAUACCCAUCAGGAAAGACAUCACUCACAGAAGAAGCACCGGCUAACUCCGUGCCAGCAGCCGCGGUAAUACGGAGGGUGCGAGCGUUAAUCGGAAUUACUGGGCGUAAAGCGCGCGUAGGUGGCUUGAUAAGCCGGUUGUGAAAGCCCCGGGCUCAACCUGGGAACGGCAUCCGGAACUGUCAAGCUAGAGUGCAGGAGAGGAAGGUAGAAUUCCCGGUGUAGGGGUGAAAUGCGUAGAGAUCGGGAGGAAUACCAGUGGCGAAGGCGGCCUUCUGGACUGACACUGACACUGAGGUGCGAAAGCGUGGGUAGCAAACAGGAUUAGAUACCCUUGUAGUC